Triticum aestivum (bread wheat) is the source of this 123-nucleotide non-coding RNA. Lineage: Eukaryota; Viridiplantae; Streptophyta; Magnoliopsida; Poales; Poaceae. The record is from Rfam.
CAUGUACUCCCUGUGUCCGACAAAGAUUGUCCUAAAUGAAUGUAUCUAGCACCAAGUUAGUGCUAGAUACAUCAUUUGAUGGACAAGCUUGGGACAAGCUUUUUCGGACGGAGGGAGUAUAUA